AUAAUAAUUGAAAUGUUAUUGUCUUAAGUCAAAAUCACAAUGAUUACUUCAUUUCAUUAGGCCCGAUGGGUUUUUGCCACGUUUAUAUUGGUUUGGAUGUCAGGAGGAUCAAGACGAUCUGUGUGAAAGAGACGCCCAAAAAAGGUCAACAUCUAACUGAUUAUUGCUAAACAUUCUGUAAGCAUAAACAUUCAAGAGUGAUACCUCCCUCUGUUGUCUAUUUUUGGGUUGAAAGUCUCAAUCACUUGGUCAGGUGUCACCCAAGCCUUAUCUUCCAUCACAGGUAAGAUGUAGACAAAUCCAGUACUGUCAUUUCUUCUU
This is a long non-coding RNA of Esox lucius (northern pike), 321 nucleotides long. RefSeq lists it as uncharacterized. The transcript is spliced from 3 exons. NCBI's taxonomy places the organism in Eukaryota, Metazoa, Chordata, Actinopteri, Esociformes, Esocidae. The record is from RefSeq and is a predicted model, not a curated record.